AAAUUGAAGAGUUUGAUCAUGGCUCAGAUUGAACGCUGGCGGCAGGCCUAACACAUGCAAGUCGAACGGUAACAGGAAGCAGCUUGCUGCUUCGCUGACGAGUGGCGGACGGGUGAGUAAUGUCUGGGAAACUGCCUGAUGGAGGGGGAUAACUACUGGAAACGGUGGCUAAUACCGCAUAACGUCGCAAGACCAAAGAGGGGGACCUUCGGGCCUCUUGCCAUCAGAUGUGCCCAGAUGGGAUUAGCUUGUUGGUGAGGUAACGGCUCACCAAGGCGACGAUCCCUAGCUGGUCUGAGAGGAUGACCAGCCACACUGGAACUGAGACACGGUCCAGACUCCUACGGGAGGCAGCAGUGGGGAAUAUUGCACAAUGGGCGCAAGCCUGAUGCAGCCAUGCCGCGUGUAUGAAGAAGGCCUUCGGGUUGUAAAGUACUUUCAGCGGGGAGGAAGGUGUUGUGGUUAAUAACCGCAGCAAUUGACGUUACCCGCAGAAGAAGCACCGGCUAACUCCGUGCCAGCAGCCGCGGUAAUACGGAGGGUGCAAGCGUUAAUCGGAAUUACUGGGCGUAAAGCGCACGCAGGCGGUCUGUCAAGUCGGAUGUGAAAUCCCCGGGCUCAACCUGGGAACUGCAUUCGAAACUGGCAGGCUUGAGUCUUGUAGAGGGGGGGGGGUAGAAUUCCAGGUGUAGCGGUGAAAUGCGUAGAGAUCUGGAGGAAUACCGGUGGCGAAGGCGGCCCCCUGGACAAAGACUGACGCUCAGGUGCGAAAGCGUGGGGAGCAAACAGGAUUAGAUACCCUGGUAGUCCACGCCGUAAACGAUGUCUACUUGGAGGUUGUGCCCUUGAGGCGUGGCUUCCGGAGCUAACGCGUUAAGUAGACCGCCUGGGGAGUACGGCCGCAAGGUUAAAACUCAAAUGAAUUGACGGGGGCCCGCACAAGCGGUGGAGCAUGUGGUUUAAUUCGAUGCAACGCGAAGAACCUUACCUGGUCUUGACAUCCACGGAAGUUUUCAGAGAUGAGAAUGUGCCUUCGGGAACCGUGAGACAGGUGCUGCAUGGCUGUCGUCAGCUCGUGUUGUGAAAUGUUGGGUUAAGUCCCGCAACGAGCGCAACCCUUAUCCUUUGUUGCCAGCGGUUAGGCCGGGAACUCAAAGGAGACUGCCAGUGAUAAACUGGAGGAAGGUGGGGAUGACGUCAAGUCAUCAUGGCCCUUACGACCAGGGCUACACACGUGCUACAAUGGCGCAUACAAAGAGAAGCGACCUCGCGAGAGCAAGCGGACCUCAUAAAGUGCGUCGUAGUCCGGAUUGGAGUCUGCAACUCGACUCCAUGAAGUCGGAAUCGCUAGUAAUCGUGGAUCAGAAUGCCACGGUGAAUACGUUCCCGGGCCUUGUACACACCGCCCGUCACACCAUGGGAGUGGGUUGCAAAAGAAGUAGGUAGCUUAACCUUCGGGAGGGCGCUUACCACUUUGUGAUUCAUGACUGGGGUGAAGUCGUAACAAGGUAACCGUAGGGGAACCUGCGGUUGGAUCACCUCCUUACCUUAAAGAA
This 1556-nucleotide ribosomal RNA is filed under the name Salmonella enterica subsp. enterica serovar Stanleyville. RNAcentral's name for it is "bacterial SSU rRNA". It matches the Rfam family "Bacterial small subunit ribosomal RNA". Lineage: Bacteria; Pseudomonadati; Pseudomonadota; Gammaproteobacteria; Enterobacterales; Enterobacteriaceae. The record is from RNAcentral.